RNAcentral lists this ribosomal RNA (544 nucleotides) under uncultured Glomeromycotina. Its description in RNAcentral is "SSU rRNA". It matches the Rfam family "Eukaryotic small subunit ribosomal RNA", at positions 548 to 1098 of the family's 1831-position model. Lineage: Eukaryota; Fungi; Glomeromycota. The record is from RNAcentral.
UUGGAGGGCAAGUCUGGUGCCAGCAGCCGCGGUAAUUCCAGCUCCAAUAGCGUAUAUUAAAGUUGUUGCAGUUAAAAAGCUCGUAGUUGAAUUUCGGGGUUCUACCGUUGGUCGGGCUUUGUCUGUACUGGUGUGUAGAAUUUCUACCUUCUGGGGAACCAUCAUGCUAUUAAUUUAGCGUGGUGGGAAACCAGGACCUUUACCUUGAAAAAAUUAGUGUGUUCAAAGCAGGCUUAUGUCUGAAUACAUUAGCGUGGAAUAAUAGAAUAGGACGGUGGUCCUGUUUUGUUGGUUUCUGAAUCACCGUAAUGAUUAAUAGGGAUAGUUGGGGGCAUUAGUAUUCAAUUGUCAGAGGUGAAAUUCUUGGAUUUAUUGAAGACUAACUUCUGCGAAAGCAUUUGCCAAGGAUGUUUUCAUUAAUCAAGAACGAAAGUUAGGGGAUCGAAGACGAUCAAAUACCGUCGUAGUCUUAACCAUAAACUAUGCCGACUAGGGAUCGGACGAUGUUAAUUUUUCUUGACUCGUUCGGCGCCUUACGGGAAAC